Molecule: ribosomal RNA, 253 nt
Filed under: uncultured bacterium
Lineage: Bacteria
Description: partial 16S ribosomal RNA
Rfam family: Bacterial small subunit ribosomal RNA
Source: RNAcentral
UACGGAGGGUGCUAGCGUUGUUCGGAAUUAUUGGGCGUAAAGGGCGCGUAGGCGGUUAUGUAAGUCAGAUGUGAAAUACUUCGGCUCAACCGAAGAACUGCAUUUGAUACUACUUAGCUAGAGUACAGAAGAGGGAAAUGGAAUUCCCGGUGUAGAGGUGAAAUUCGUAGAUAUCGGGAGGAACACCAGUGGCGAAGGCGAUUUCCUGGUCUGAUACUGACGCUGAGGCGCGAAAGCGUGGGGAGCAAACAGG